UUAUGUUUUACCUUUAAAGGAUGUAACGCUUCUGCGGCUCCUUUAUGAUUAAUAAAGUUAAGUUAUUUUAUUUAACUCGAGUCUAUGUGAUUUAAAUAAGUAUGUUUUGGUCAUUACCCUAUAAGAUGGGGUAUGGUUCGUAACAAGUGAUAUCAUAGCACAGUUCUAGGACAUCCCUUGAAUAUGAGACUUUGACAUAGUUGUGAAACAUAAGGAAAUGUCUCUAAAUUUAAAUUUUAUGAAUAUAAGGAAAUGGUAAGAAUACUGAG
RNAcentral lists this long non-coding RNA (269 nucleotides) under Carica papaya (papaya). RNAcentral describes it as "long non-coding RNA (CPAP_LNC014768)". The record is from RNAcentral. Lineage: Eukaryota; Viridiplantae; Streptophyta; Magnoliopsida; Brassicales; Caricaceae.